This 253-nucleotide ribosomal RNA is filed under the name uncultured bacterium. RNAcentral's name for it is "partial 16S ribosomal RNA". It matches the Rfam family "Bacterial small subunit ribosomal RNA", at positions 524 to 776 of the family's 1533-position model. The record is from RNAcentral.
UACGAAGGGUGCAAGCGUUACUCGGAAUUACUGGGCGUAAAGCGUGCGUAGGUGGUUUCUUAAGUCUGCUGUGAAAGCCCCGGGCUCAACCUGGGAAUUGCAGUGGAUACUGGGGAGCUAGAGUGCGGUAGAGGGUAGUGGAGUUCCCGGUGUAGCGGUGAAAUGCGUAGAGAUCGGGAGGAACACCAGUGGCGAAGGCGGCUACCUGGACCAGCACUGACACUGAGGCACGAAAGCGUGGGGAGCAAACAGG